GAAUCAUGUACAACGUGAACAUAAAAAGAUAGAGUGUGAUCAGUGUGGAAAAUGUUUCAGUUCGUACGACGCGAGAUGGAAUCAUGUACAACAUGAACAU
Wasmannia auropunctata (little fire ant) is the source of this 100-nucleotide long non-coding RNA. RefSeq lists it as uncharacterized. NCBI's taxonomy places the organism in Eukaryota, Metazoa, Arthropoda, Insecta, Hymenoptera, Formicidae. The record is from RefSeq and is a predicted model, not a curated record. The transcript has 2 exons.